This 467-nucleotide ribosomal RNA is filed under the name uncultured bacterium. RNAcentral describes it as "partial 16S ribosomal RNA". It matches the Rfam family "Bacterial small subunit ribosomal RNA", at positions 28 to 507 of the family's 1533-position model. The record is from RNAcentral.
GACGAACGCUGGCGGCGUGCUUAACACAUGCAAGUCGAACGGAAAGGCCCUGCUUUUGUGGGGUGCUCGAGUGGCGAACGGGUGAGUAACACGUGAGUAACCUGCCCUUGACUUUGGGAUAACUUCAGGAAACUGGGGCUAAUACCGGAUAGGAGCUCCUGCUGCAUGGUGGGGUGGGGAAGUUUCGGCGGUUGGGGAUGGACUCGCGGCUUAUCAGCUUGUUGGUGGGGUAGUGGCUUACCAAGGCUUUGACGGGUAGCCGGCCUGAGAGGGUGACCGGCCACAUUGGGACUGAGAUACGGCCCAGACUCCUACGGGAGGCAGCAGUGGGGAAUAUUGCACAAUGGGCGGAAGCCUGAUGCAGCAACGCCGCGUGCGGGAUGACGGCCUUCGGGUUGUAAACCGCUUUCGCCUGUGACGAAGCGUGAGUGACGGUAAUGGGUAAAGAAGCACCGGCUAACUACGUG